RNAcentral lists this ribosomal RNA (219 nucleotides) under uncultured bacterium. Its description in RNAcentral is "partial 16S ribosomal RNA". It matches the Rfam family "Bacterial small subunit ribosomal RNA", at positions 1282 to 1500 of the family's 1533-position model. The record is from RNAcentral.
AACGUCCCAGUUCGGAUUGUAGUCUACAACCCGACUACAUGAAGCCGGAAUCGCUAGUAAUCGCGGAUCAGAAUGCCGCGGUGAAUACGUUCCCGGGUCUUGUACACACCGCCCGUCACACCAUGGGAGUUGGAAAUGCCCGAAGUCAGUGGCCCAACCGGAAGGGGGGAGCUGCCGAAGGCAGGUUCGAUGACUGGGGUGAAGUCGUAACAAGGUAAC